AGAGUUUGAUCCUGGCUCAGAUUGAACGCUGGCGGCAGGCCUAACACAUGCAAGUCGAGCGGGGUUUUCGGACCUAGCGGCGGACGGGUGAGUAAUGCGUAGGAAGCCACCCGAUAGAGGGGGAUACCAGUUGGAAACGACUGUUAAUACCGCAUAAUGUCUACGGACCAAAGUGUGGGACCUUCGGGCCACAUGCUAUCGGAUGCGCCUACGUGGGAUUAGCUAGUUGGUGAGGUAAUGGCUCACCAAGGCGACGAUCUCUAGCUGGUUUGAGAGGAUGAUCAGCCACACUGGAACUGAGACACGGUCCAGACUCCUACGGGAGGCAGCAGUGGGGAAUAUUGGACAAUGGGCGCAAGCCUGAUCCAGCCAUGCCGCGUGUGUGAAGAAGGCCUUCGGGUUGUAAAGCACUUUCAGCGAGGAGGAAGGGUUGGUCGUUAAUAGCGGCUAAUUUUGACGUUACUCGCAGAAGAAGCACCGGCUAACUCUGUGCCAGCAGCCGCGGUAAUACAGAGGGUGCAAGCGUUAAUCGGAAUUACUGGGCGUAAAGCGCACGCAGGCGGUUGGUUAAGUCAGAUGUGAAAGCCCCGGGCUCAACCUGGGAAUUGCAUUUGAAACUGGCCAACUAGAGUAUGUGAGAGGGGGGUAGAAUUCCAAGUGU
RNAcentral lists this ribosomal RNA (661 nucleotides) under uncultured bacterium. RNAcentral describes it as "bacterial SSU rRNA". It matches the Rfam family "Bacterial small subunit ribosomal RNA", at positions 8 to 676 of the family's 1533-position model. The record is from RNAcentral.